CCUACGGGAGGCAGCAGUGGGGAAUUUUGCGCAAUGGGGGAAACCCUGAUGCAGCAACGCCGCGUGAGUGAAGAAGUCUUUCGGUGUGUAAAGCUCUAUCAGCGGGGACGAAAAACGACGGUACCUGACUACGAAGCCCCGGCUAACUACGUGCCAGCAGCCGCGGUAAUACGUAGGGGGCAAGCGUUAUCCGGAUUUACUGGGUGUAAAGGGAGCGUAGACGGCGCGGCAAGUCUGCAGUUAAAGGCAGGGGCUUAACCUCUGAACGGCUUUGGAAACUGCCAUGCUAGAGUGCGGGAGAGGUAAGUGGAAUUCCUGGUGUAGCGGUGAAAUGCGUAGAUAUUAGGAGGAACACCAGUGGCGAAGGCGGUUUACUGGACAGUAACUGACGUUGAGGCUCGAAAGCGGGGGGAGCAAAUAGGAUUAGAUACCCCAGUAGUC
Molecule: ribosomal RNA, 441 nt
Filed under: uncultured bacterium
Lineage: Bacteria
Description: partial 16S ribosomal RNA
Rfam family: Bacterial small subunit ribosomal RNA
Source: RNAcentral